RNAcentral lists this ribosomal RNA (497 nucleotides) under uncultured bacterium. RNAcentral's name for it is "partial 16S ribosomal RNA". It matches the Rfam family "Bacterial small subunit ribosomal RNA", at positions 28 to 507 of the family's 1533-position model. The record is from RNAcentral.
GAUGAACGCUGGCGGCGUGCCUAAUACAUGCAAGUCGAGCGAACGGACGAGAAGCUUGCUUCUCUGAUGUUAGCGGCGGACGGGUGAGUAACACGUGCAUAACCUACCUAUAAGACUGGGAUAACUUCGGGAAACCGGAUCUAAUACCGGAUAAUAUUUUGAACCGCAUGGUUCAAAAGUGAAAGACGGUCUUGCUGUCACUUAUAGAUGGAUCCGCGCUGCAUUAGCUAGUUGGUAAGGUAACGGCUUACCAAGGCAACGAUGCGUAGCCGACCUGAGAGGGUGAUCGGCCACACUGGAACUGAGACACGGUCCAGACUCCUACGGGAGGCAGCAGUAGGGAAUCUUCCGCAAUGGGCGAAAGCCUGACGGAGCAACGCCGCGUGAGUGAUGAAGGUCUUCGGAUCGUAAAACUCUGUUAUUAGGGAAGAACAUAUGUGUAAGUAACUGUGCACAUCUUGACGGUACCUAAUCAGAAAGCCACGGCUAACUACGUG